GCUCAAGCACAAGAAUCGUAAUCGCAGUUCACGUACAGACAGACCCCUUUUGUAAAGGGUGCUCCAUCACACUCAAACAUACUGUGGGUGAAAGUCCCCGGAGCCUCUUCCUCAUAUCUAGAUCACACCUACAGAACCUUCUUUCAACCCUGUGGAAAUUCGUCUUAUUAGACUUUCAUCCUGUUACCUGAUUUUAGAUCUCAGAGGGAGAUAGACGUGGUUACGAAAGGGCUCAUAUCUAAGUACUGUGAGAAUAACCCAUCUACCCUCCUCGAUCUUAAAUCAUAUAGGUAUAUCGGAUGGGUCGAAAAGACGGUAUGGUUUUCAUCUGGGGAGUUGGAGGAUUUUAGACUAUUUAAACGAUAUUUCAACCCACUCCCAGAGAAGUGUACGGUCCCAUCCGAACUCCUUUGGGAAAGUGGUGAUAUCGGGUCUCAAAUAAUAUGGUAUGAUUGUUUCUUUCUCAAGUCAUCUACCUAUCAGGCGAAGAUAUGAGCCGUAGGAAUUCAUAGAUGAUUUGAGAAAGAGUACGAUCAUGGGGAAGAUGAAAUCAUGCGCUCAUAGUUUAUAGUUAUACGAUUGCCUAUUCAUACCCACUACUUCAACAGAAGUGGUCAAGGGGAAUAGGUUACUCGAUGGGGCUUACUCUGUGUCUUGAG
This 659-nucleotide RNase MRP RNA is filed under the name Kwoniella mangroviensis CBS 10435. RNAcentral's name for it is "RNase MRP". It matches the Rfam family "RNase MRP". From Rfam's summary of the family: RNase MRP is an enzymatically active ribonucleoprotein with two distinct roles in eukaryotes. The record is from Rfam by way of RNAcentral. Lineage: Eukaryota; Fungi; Basidiomycota; Tremellomycetes; Tremellales; Cryptococcaceae.